GAUGAAUAACGUAGCGAAAUGCGAUAAGUAAUGUGAAUUGCAGAAUUCAGUGAAUCAUCGAAUCUUUGAACGCACCUUGCACCCUUUGGCAUUCCGAAGGGUAUGCUCGUUUGAGUGUCAUUGUACUCUCACACUUCUGAUCCUUUGGAUUGGGAGCGGUGGACUUGGGUGUUGCUGCUUUACUGUGGCUCACCUCAAAUGCAUUCGUGCAACUCUUGGUUGGACAUAGUACGGCGUGAUAAGUAUCUUCGCCGGCACCUCGCAAGAGGGUGGCUGAUCAGGAGCUCUGUGCUUUCCAACUGUCUUCAGACAACAACUGACAACUUGACCUCAAAUCGAGUAGGACCACCCGCUGAACUUAAGCAUAUCAAUAAGCGGAGGA
This 382-nucleotide unclassified non-coding RNA is filed under the name soil metagenome. Its description in RNAcentral is "partial contains 5.8S ribosomal RNA, internal transcribed spacer 2, and large subunit ribosomal RNA". The stretch from base 1 to 120 matches the Rfam family "5.8S ribosomal RNA", at positions 35 to 154 of the family's 154-position model. The record is from RNAcentral.